AAAAUAGUGCGGAGAUAGCUAAGAGAUCGUAGCAAUAGCGUAGAUGAAUGGCUGAACAAAGCAUUGGAAUCUUAAAAAGACGGUGGACAAUUUUAGGAUAUGGCAAGAGAGGAAGGAAUUACUCCACAAAAGUGGAAGAUUUGCUAACGUUUGUGAGGCAUUACAUAACAUUUGCAUAAAAUAUGCAAUAAGUUAAGACCCUUAAAAAAGCGAUUCUUAACACACACAAGAAAUGAACACCGGGGUAGCGAACCUCUUCACCGCAAUCGACCAAACGAUAAGAGAUCAAAUAAAGUAUUCUUUAAUAAAUUUAAUUCAAAAA
Molecule: long non-coding RNA, 322 nt
Organism: Bactrocera tryoni
Lineage: Eukaryota; Metazoa; Arthropoda; Insecta; Diptera; Tephritidae
Exons: 2
Source: RefSeq, a predicted model, not a curated record